UAAAAAAUGAAGACAAUGAAAAUAAUACGGAAGAAAUUGAAGCUAUGUGAUUGUUCUUCUAUUUGUAUAUCAAGGACCAAUAAUCUACAGAUUAAAUUAAUCACCAGAGUUCU
Molecule: unclassified non-coding RNA, 113 nt
Filed under: Cotesia glomerata
Lineage: Eukaryota; Metazoa; Arthropoda; Insecta; Hymenoptera; Braconidae
Description: uncharacterized LOC123272552, transcript variant X2
Source: RNAcentral